Molecule: ribosomal RNA, 535 nt
Filed under: Staphylococcus aureus
Lineage: Bacteria; Bacillati; Bacillota; Bacilli; Caryophanales; Staphylococcaceae
Description: bacterial SSU rRNA
Rfam family: Bacterial small subunit ribosomal RNA
Source: RNAcentral
UUUAUGGAGAGUUUGAUCCUGGCUCAGGAUGAACGCUGGCGGCGUGCCUAAUACAUGCAAGUCGAGCGAACGGACGAGAAGCUUGCUUCUCUGAUGUUAGCGGCGGACGGGUGAGUAACACGUGGAUAACCUACCUAUAAGACUGGGAUAACUUCGGGAAACCGGAGCUAAUACCGGAUAAUAUUUUGAACCGCAUGGUUCAAAAGUGAAAGACGGUCUUGCUGUCACUUAUAGAUGGAUCCGCGCUGCAUUAGCUAGUUGGUAAGGUAACGGCUUACCAAGGCAACGAUGCAUAGCCGACCUGAGAGGGUGAUCGGCCACACUGGAACUGAGACACGGUCCAGACUCCUACGGGAGGCAGCAGUAGGGAAUCUUCCGCAAUGGGCGAAAGCCUGACGGAGCAACGCCGCGUGAGUGAUGAAGGUCUUCGGAUCGUAAAACUCUGUUAUUAGGGAAGAACAUAUGUGUAAGUAACUGUGCACAUCUUGACGGUACCUAAUCAGAAAGCCACGGCUAACUACGUGCCAGCAGCCGC